CCUACGGGUGGCAGCAGUAGGGAAUAUUGCUCAAUGGGGGAAACCCUGAAGCAGCAACGCCGCGUGGAGGAUGAAGGUUUUCGGAUUGUAAACUCCUUUUGUUAGAGAAGAUAAUGACGGUAUCUAACGAAUAAGCACCGGCUAACUCCGUGCCAGCAGCCGCGGUAAUACGGAGGGGGCAACCGUUAUCCGGAAUCACUGGGCAGAAAGCGCGCGUAGGGGGGAUAGCAAGUCAGAUGUGAAUGCCUAGGGCUUAACCAUAGAACUGCAUUUGAAACUGUUAUUCUAGAGUAUGGGAGAGGUAGGUGGAAUUCUUGGUGUAGGGGUAAAAUCCGUAGAGAUCAAGAGGAAUACUCAUUGCGAAGGCGACCUGCUAGAACAUAACUGACGCUGAUGCGCGAAAGCGUGGGGAGCAAACAGGAUUAGAUACCCUUGUAGUC
RNAcentral lists this ribosomal RNA (440 nucleotides) under uncultured bacterium. Its description in RNAcentral is "partial 16S ribosomal RNA". It matches the Rfam family "Bacterial small subunit ribosomal RNA", at positions 338 to 795 of the family's 1533-position model. The record is from RNAcentral.